This 253-nucleotide ribosomal RNA is filed under the name uncultured bacterium. RNAcentral's name for it is "partial 16S ribosomal RNA". It matches the Rfam family "Bacterial small subunit ribosomal RNA", at positions 524 to 776 of the family's 1533-position model. The record is from RNAcentral.
UACGUAGGGGGCAAGCGUUGUCCGGAAUCAUUGGGCGUAAAGCGCGUGUAGGCGGCCCGAUAAGUCCGCUGUGAAAGUCCAGGGCUCAACCCUGGAAUGCCGGUGGAUACUGUCGGGCUAGAGUCCGGAAGAGGCGAGUGGAAUUCCUGGUGUAGCGGUGAAAUGCGCAGAUAUCAGGAGGAACACCAAUGGCGAAGGCAGCUCGCUGGGACGUGACUGACGCUGAGACGCGAAAGCGUGGGGAGCAAACAGG